AUUCCUGUGGGGGAAACCCACCCGCAUCCCCCAGGGUUCCUUGGGGUGACAGGUUUGCUGUCAGCCAGAGGAGGGUCUCACCGCUUCUUCCUGGUCUUCAAGGAAGGAGAGGGCUCUCUCUCUCGGCCUUCUGCUCAUAGCUCCACGCCUGGCAGGAAGUCCCUUCUGUUGUCUGUCAGACCUUCUACUCCAGAGAUGGUGACAGAUAUUGAAAAUCAGAUCGAUAAGCAGCUUCAAGACAGACUGAAUCAGGAGGAGGUGGCUACAGCUCCUCUGGCCAAGGAGCUGGAAUCAGGCCAAACCUCACAUCAGUAACCCGGCAGGACGAAAGCGUCUGGCCCUUUAAGGCCACCUUCUUCCCCCCACGUGCCGUCUGGUUGGGCUGGCGACGCUGACGCACGCGUGACGUCAAUGGCAGCUGGCGGAGUCUGGGCACGAGGAGCGAAGUUGGGAUGGGGGUUGGUGGGGCGAAAACCAGAGGGCGGUUUAUUUGCAUUUAAAGGGGCCACUCCAGGGUUAGCGCUCAAGGCUUUAAAGAUUUGUGUAUUUGGAAAACUUUCCGUCUUGCGCUAGGGGACAAGAAAAACGCGUGGUACAGCCAAAGUCUGUCGUGA
Capra hircus (goat) is the source of this 614-nucleotide long non-coding RNA. RefSeq lists it as uncharacterized. The transcript is spliced from 2 exons. NCBI's taxonomy places the organism in Eukaryota, Metazoa, Chordata, Mammalia, Artiodactyla, Bovidae. The record is from RefSeq and is a predicted model, not a curated record.